GCGGAUAUGACGAAAUGGUAGACGUAUCAGAUUUAGGAUCUGGUGGGGAGACCCGUGGGGGUUCAAGUCCCUCUAUCCGUA
RNAcentral lists this transfer RNA (81 nucleotides) under Micromonas pusilla CCMP1545. Its description in RNAcentral is "tRNA-Leu". It matches the Rfam family "tRNA". From Rfam's summary of the family: Transfer RNA (tRNA) molecules are approximately 80 nucleotides in length. Their secondary structure includes four short double-helical elements and three loops (D, anti-codon, and T loops). The record is from RNAcentral. Lineage: Eukaryota; Viridiplantae; Chlorophyta; Mamiellophyceae; Mamiellales; Mamiellaceae.